Molecule: RNA transcript, 1746 nt
Organism: Cornus florida
Lineage: Eukaryota; Viridiplantae; Streptophyta; Magnoliopsida; Cornales; Cornaceae
Exons: 10
Source: RefSeq, a predicted model, not a curated record
AUUCUCUACUUUCCCAUUUCAUUUUGCAAAGCCCUAAUCCUUUCAUUUUGCAAUAGCCCUAAUCCUUCAGCCAUUCUCCACUUCCCAUUCCUAUUCUAGACAUCAUCUAGCCGUCAUCUAGCUGGGAAUACGGAAACAACAAUUCGGAGGAAACAGCCAAAGCAGAUUUUGAAGCAAUUCAGCUUCGAGUGCGUAGGAGAAGAAGUGCCGUCAUCUAGCCGGGAAUACGGAAAUAACCAAAGCAGUAAACAAGAUCCUCCUAAUUUCACGUGAAGGGGAAGAAGUGCUUCGAGUGCGUAGGGGAAGAAGUGCUUCGAGUGGGUUUGAUUUGAGAUCAGGAGGAAAUAAUCGAUCUUAGCUUGGAUUGUUAGAACAAGUUUUGUCUGAUUUCGUUUUUUAGGAAGGAUAAAUAAUAAGUUGACAAUGAAACGAACGGUUAGUGAAGUGGAAAAAGUGAGUGAACAAAAUACCGAAGCUUCAACUUCAAAAUCAUCCCAACCACCGCCGAAGAAGAGACGAGGUCCGACACGAUGCAAGAAUGUCAUAGACGCGAAAACCUUAUUACCUUUAAGGGUUAAUAAGUUUGGACAGCCGAUCGGUCCUGAGAGUGGUACAUAUACUAAUUAUCUGGGAACACUUGCCCGGAAGUGUGAAUUAGCUCCUUUGUGCUACAAAACUUGGUGGGAGAUGCCUAAACGGUUGAAGUAGGAUAUGUGGAACAUUGUAAAGGGAAAAUAUGAUAUGGGAAUCAUGACAAAACAGUGGACAAUAUCCUCCAUCAGAAAAAAAAUGGAGGGGGUACAAGUGUGAGUUGAAAAAUGAAUACUACUCAGUUAGGGAUACAGAUGAAGAAAGAUUGGGAAUUUUUGGUUAGGCAUUGGGGUACGCCUAUGGCGAAGGAGGUCAGCAAAAAAAAUAAAGAACGUUGUGGGAAGCAAACAAUGAUGCAUACUACAGGGACAAAAAGCUUUGCACGUGUUUCUACCGAGAUUGAGGAAGAUGAAGGUAUUCAGCUUUCUCGUGCAGAUUUAUUCAUCCGCACAGAUGUAAAUAAGGAUGGCAAAGCUACUGAUGCUGCUGCUUCGGAGAUGAUUGAAAACAUAAGAGAACUUCAAAAAAGUUACUCUGACUCGCCUAUUGGCAGCUCCAAUGAUUUGUUCUCCAUUGUGAGGAGAGAAGAGAGAACUGGUCGUGUGCGGAUGCUUGGCUUCGGGCCUACACCAAGCGAUGUUUGGGGGCCCUCUCCUAGUAAAGCUGAACUGAUUAAUAAUGCUAAAAAAUCUCAAGAGGAGGCAUGUGCUACACGUGUAGAGUUGCAGGAGACGAUUUCAAAAAUGCAAGCCGACUAUGACAACAAGUUGGAAAAUUUACGAGCCAACUACGACGACAAGUUGGAAAAUUUACAACAACAGGUGGCUAUGCUAAUGCAGAUGCAAUAACAAAAUUGUAGUGGACAGGAUUCUGAUUCUUUAAAUGCUCCUCCUAGAGUAUCCCCAAAUCCAUUUUCUAGUCGUGAUGCCAAUUCAGUUAAGGGUAAUUCAAAUCAAAUGGGCAAGAAGACUUGUUGAAGUUGAAGAUGGGGUCGUGGCUGUGCUUUUUGAAUUUCUUUCGCCUUGGAUGGGUUCUUUUUGAAAAACUUGUACUACAUUUGUUAAAAAUUCUUAAUUCUUUUUUUGUGACAUUUAGUACCUUUAUCUAGACAAUUUGGAUGGUAUUUUCAUAUUGGCAGGUUAACUUGUGGUUGUA